UGUACAUGGUACCUAACUAUUUUUGACAAGUCACUUUUUAUGUGUGAAUAAUAAAUGUCGUCUGCUUGGUCUACGUCUGCGCUGUUUUUUCGGUUUAUGGACCGAAAGUUAGACUUCGUAUUCACCAUUUUGGGGUUCAGCAGCCCAACAUUAGGUGAAUUUGAAGUUUGUUAUGGCAACUUUGAAGUGCAACAUGCCUCAAACAUCCAAAUCCAACACACCCACCUUCCAUGUCAUUUCCUCCAUGGUCAAAACCACCAACUAGCUCUUAGCCAUCUAGCAGGAGCCUUUUCACUCAGUUGAACCACUGACAGUUUCUCCUGAGGUGGGCAGACUCGCACAGCGGGAGAAGAGGCGUAUUGACAGUCACCCUCAAGAGGAGCUGCCCCUCCCAACUAAAGGCCAGCUACCCCCUGGUCAUAGGCAGGAAUGGAGAACAUGGAAGCCCCUCAUUACGUACAGAGAUGCAAGACAAACAUGAAGAAAUGGGGGUAUACAGACGAUUCGAUUGUGGCACAUCACGUCAGUCUAGGCUACACCUUCUAUGAUGCUUAGCCCUCGAGGAGCAGUGCCGCCUUGAAGACCUGAUGGCAGCAAACGAAGGCUGUGAGAUGCGCCCAAUCCUGGUUAGACAUUUGAAGAGUAGAUGAUGGACUCGAAAAAAGAAGAACAUGCCUUUUACUGCUUGGUUAAACUUCUAACUUUGUCCUUGCUCUUUGCUUAAAGGUACCCAUUAACUCAUGGAUGGAGAGAAGCAAUUAAGAUUAUUACAAGUAUCUUAUUCAGGGACACAAGUGUCAUGACCAGGAUUCGAACCCACACUCUGCUGAACAGAAGAAACACCAGAGCUUGAGUUCGGUGCUCUUACCUGCUCGAUCACGACACCCUAGCAUACCGGGAUGGGGGAACUUCUACACCAUGUGUGGCUUAGAAAUUUGAAUUCUGAACUCAAAGGCAAAAAUUGUUGGUCUACCAUUUACGCAAGUAUUCAAGACGAAUAUUAUCAGAGAUUUUUAUUCAUGGACUACUUCUUUUAAAGACACUGGACACUAUUUAUUGGUAACUGUCAAAGGUAGUCUUCACUG
Asterias rubens (European starfish) is the source of this 1085-nucleotide long non-coding RNA. RefSeq lists it as uncharacterized. NCBI's taxonomy places the organism in Eukaryota, Metazoa, Echinodermata, Asteroidea, Forcipulatida, Asteriidae. The transcript is spliced from 4 exons. The record is from RefSeq and is a predicted model, not a curated record.